Molecule: long non-coding RNA, 1786 nt
Filed under: Citrus sinensis (sweet orange)
Lineage: Eukaryota; Viridiplantae; Streptophyta; Magnoliopsida; Sapindales; Rutaceae
Description: long non-coding RNA (CSIN_LNC002450)
Source: RNAcentral
AGAGAGGAAGCUACCAAAAGCUGACCCGAAACCCGACCCAAACCGCGAACCCGACCCGGACAUACCUCCAAUUUCCGGCCACCUUAUCGGUCGAGCGAGGUACCAAUCUGAAGCUUGAAGACCGGCCAUAAUUCCCCCGCCGUCUAGGUAGCCGGAAAACAGCCAGAACGUUGGCGACCAAAGUUUGAAAAAUUGCAACUUUUCCAUCUUGCUCCGCCGGGAUUUUCGCAAGUUUUGGGUGACGCCACCAGCUGGGUUUUGUUCCCCACGACUCCCUUUUGAAUCUUCGACCAUUCAAAGCCACCGAAAGCGGUCGAUUUGCGGUGGUUCAGCCGUUGGAGUUACACAGUUGUCGAGCUAGAUUUCCACCGCCGUCGUCUUGCGUGGGACGUCACCGCUGGCACCGUUGGACCCAUUGUGGCCGAAACCUUCAGACUUGAGCUUCGUAGCCACCGUUGACUAAAUUCCGGUCAGCGUUGACCUGCGAGGGCAAUUCGGUAAUUUCCAUUUUGAGGGCGAUUUUGUAAUUUGAAACCCUGUGGAUAUUUUAGUAAUUCCUGAAAUUAAGGAUUGGCUGGUAAUUACAAUUCCGAUGGUGAUUCGUUGAUUUAUGAUUUUGGAGUAUUUUAAUGAUUAACGGACUUUAUUGGUGAUUUUGUAUAUUCCACUCACAGAAUUGUAAAUUAUAGAUAGAUGUUCGUUUCGAGUUUAUUGAAUAAAUUUAGUCAUAAUUUAGAUUUACGAAAAAUAAUUAUGUGAUUUCCUUGAUUUAGGAGGAUUCGCGAACGAGAACUAGUCCGCAGGUGUGGACGAUAACCAAAUCUGAGCAUCGUCACUGUAAGUGGAAUAUACAAAACCUAUUUUCAUAGUUAAUUAUGAUAGUAAAACAUGCUUGCGAAAUAAGUAUUUUAAAUGUUUUGAUUUAAUGAUUUUCUCAAAAUGAAUUUAAUUCCCGCAUUGAUAUUUUAUUGAAAUGUUUGGUUAAUGAUUUUCCGUAUCGACUUUGGAUAAUAUAUUAUAGUAUUUUAAAAACAAGAAAAAUGGAUUUAAAUGUGAUAGUAAAAAGAAGAUAGAUUUAAAGUAUGUUAAAUAGAAAGGAAAUGAGAUUUAUAGUAUGAUUUUAUGUUCAUGUAUACGUGUAUAAGGCGUUGUUUGUAAAUUAUUGGACAAUACCUUUCUCUAGUUACAAUGAUAUUGAUAUGAUGAGGCCUUUGGAGUUGGUUUGAAUACACAUAGAGGCUUGGGGUCGUGUGCUUGGACGUUUUUAUCCUUUGGGGAUUUGAUCAUCCGUGCACAGAUAUGAUAAGAUAUGAGAUGACAUUUUCCCGUCUAUCUGUAUAGCUCCGGAGCAUGAUGGUACCUAAAUAAUAUGCCAUUGUCCAUCCAUUGAGGCCCGGAUAUGACGAAAUUAUUCCCCUGGGUGCUUGUUUAGUGAUGAUUUCAGAUUUGUGUAUUUUAUAUGAUAUUGUGAUAUGAUUUCUAUGGUUAUUACAUAUAUUAUUAUUUAUGCUCUUGAAGGUUAGUAAUAUGAUUUACAUGUUAAAUGAUUUAUUAAUGUUUUCCCGUAUAUGGUUUGAUGAAACCAUGUUUAGAAAUGAUAUGAUUAAAAUUAUUUUCAAAAAAUUACUAUCCACUCACUAAGUUUUAUACUCAUCCCGUUUUAUUAUAUUCCCCCCUCCCCCAACAGGAGGUUGCAAGUAUACUAGAUCAACUCAGUGACUGUAAAUAUAUUUUGAAUUUUGGUCACGUGAUGGUGUUAGAAGAUAUAGAUAAUUUUUGUUAGGAC